RNAcentral lists this transfer RNA (71 nucleotides) under Lophius litulon. RNAcentral describes it as "tRNA-Gln". It matches the Rfam family "tRNA". From Rfam's summary of the family: Transfer RNA (tRNA) molecules are approximately 80 nucleotides in length. Their secondary structure includes four short double-helical elements and three loops (D, anti-codon, and T loops). The record is from RNAcentral. Lineage: Eukaryota; Metazoa; Chordata; Actinopteri; Lophiiformes; Lophiidae.
UAGGAAGUGGUGUAGUGGAAGCACUUAGAGUUUUGAUCUCUUCGGAGAGGGUUCAAAUCCCUUCUUUCUAA